AUUGAACGCUGGCGGCAUGCCUAACACAUGCAAGUCGAACGAAGGCUUCGGCCUUAGUGGCGCACGGGUGCGUAACGCGUGGGAAUCUGCCCUUGGGUUCGGAAUAACUCAGAGAAAUUUGAGCUAAUACCGGAUGAUGACGUAAGUCCAAAGAUUUAUCGCCCAAGGAUGAGCCCGCGUAAGAUUAGCUAGUUGGUGGGGUAAAGGCCUACCAAGGCGACGAUCUUUAGCUGGUCUGAGAGGAUGAUCAGCCACACUGGGACUGAGACACGGACCAGACUCCUACGGGAGGCAGCAGUAAGGAAUAUUGGACAAUGGCCGCAAGGCUGAUCCAGCCAUGCCGCGUGCAGGAAGACGGACCUAUGGUUUGUAAACUGCCUUUGAAUGGGA
RNAcentral lists this ribosomal RNA (390 nucleotides) under uncultured bacterium. RNAcentral's name for it is "bacterial SSU rRNA". It matches the Rfam family "Bacterial small subunit ribosomal RNA", at positions 30 to 445 of the family's 1533-position model. The record is from RNAcentral.